RNAcentral lists this ribosomal RNA (301 nucleotides) under uncultured bacterium. RNAcentral's name for it is "partial 16S ribosomal RNA". It matches the Rfam family "Bacterial small subunit ribosomal RNA", at positions 509 to 808 of the family's 1533-position model. The record is from RNAcentral.
CAGUCGCGCGGUAAUACGGAGGGUGCAAGCGUUAAUCGGAAUUACUGGGCGUAAAGCGCACGCAGGCGGUUUGUUAAGUCAGAUGUGAAAUCCCCGGGCUCAACCUGGGAACUGCAUCUGAUACUGGCAAGCUUGAGUCUCGUAGAGGGGGGUAGAAUUCCAGGUGUAGCGGUGAAAUGCGUAGAGAUCUGGAGGAAUACCGGUGGCGAAGGCGGCCCCCUGGACGAAGACUGACGCUCAGGUGCGAAAGCGUGGGGAGCAAACAGGAUUAGAGACCCCGGUAGUCCCUGUCUCUUAUACC